UUGAAGUCAACAACGUUGAUGAUUUCGCUCCAGUGUGGUAUAAAUACCGCGCUUUUUAACGACACACACGUUUCGUCACAUACGGUGGGGUCCCAUUGUGGGUACCGUAUGGGAGACGUGGAGGCUUAACC
RNAcentral lists this small RNA (131 nucleotides) under Legionella hackeliae. Its description in RNAcentral is "t44". The stretch from base 45 to 130 matches the Rfam family "t44 RNA". From Rfam's summary of the family: This family consists of a number of bacterial RNA genes of between 135 and 170 bases in length. Lineage: Bacteria; Pseudomonadati; Pseudomonadota; Gammaproteobacteria; Legionellales; Legionellaceae. The record is from RNAcentral.